Long non-coding RNA from Oncorhynchus mykiss (rainbow trout), 1810 nucleotides. RefSeq lists it as uncharacterized. NCBI's taxonomy places the organism in Eukaryota, Metazoa, Chordata, Actinopteri, Salmoniformes, Salmonidae. The record is from RefSeq and is a predicted model, not a curated record.
UUGUUAAGCAUCUAGUAAUAAACAACAUGUCAAAGAGCUCGUAUGAGAACUGGAGACAUUUUAGAAGAGGGUAAACCAGUCUAGGCAUGGGGAAAUCUAGAACAAGAGAGGAAGCAAUGAAGAAAGAGCUGGUGGCGACAGGCAUCUCUGCGUGCCAGGAUGAUAUCUCAGCUUGGACAUCGGCCCACCAUCAAGCUCAACCUCGACAAGACAGAACUGCUCUUCCACCCGGGGAAGGCAUGCCCGCUCAAAGACCUCUACAUCAUGGUUGACAACUCCACAGUGUCACCCUCCCAGUGCAAAUAACCUUGGUGCGACCCUGAACACCCAGUCGUUCUCUGCAAAUAUCAAAAAAGUGACCCUCUCCUGCAGGUUCAUGCUCUACAACAUCCAUAGAGUACGACCCUGCCUUACACAGGAAGCGGUGCAGGUCCUAAUUCAGGCACUUGUUCUGUCCCACCUGGACUACUGCAACUCGCUGUUAGCUGGGCUCCCCACUUGUGCCAUCAAACCCCUGCAACUUAUCCAGAACGUUGCGGCCCGCCUGGUUUUCAACCAUGUCACCCCUCUCCUCCGCACAUUCCACUUAAUGCCCUUUAAGUGUAAGAACUGUUUGAAAAGACUGCCUGAAAUUUCAGACUGUUUUGGUGGGAUGGAGUUUUGGCCUGCCUGGUGAAAUCACCAGGCGGUUAAUUAAUUAAUAGACCAAUAAGAGAGAUAGUUCCAAACCUCUCUGCCAAUUACAGGUAGUUUUCAGUUUUCCCCUCCCCACUCAGACCACCUCCAGAUAGUCCUAGCAGAGUUCUUGCUUGAGAAAUUGCUCUUUGCUAAGAAGCUAUUUUUGUUUCUUUUUGACCAUUUUAAUUGAAAACAAUCACAUUAAGGUACUUAAUUGUUACCCAGAAAUGAUUUGAUAUUGAGAUAAAAAAAAAAAUGGCUGCAUUGGGCCUUUAACAAUAUGAGAGCUUGGGACUAUAAAGUUCUAUCUCCAAUUGAAUCAACAUAUUGUUCUGUUCAAUGUUCUCUAUCUAUACAGGGUGCGUUUGUAAAUUCACUCUGGCUAUCUACUCUGAUUUCAGAGUGUGCCAGGGCACAGAAUAACCGGGGAAUUUACGAACACCCGUUGAAAAGGGCCGUUGUCAUUAAACGUUGGCAAAAAAAACGUAAUUCAAUUGUUGCUAGCAGCACAGUUACAGUCACCAGUGUGCACUCUUUUUGCAGAUAGAACGUCACAGUCUCAAGCUCUCAAAUAGUCAAUGUACAUUUCAUUCAUAACAUGCUGGAACACAGAGUAUAAAUAUGUAUAUCAAGUCAAAGACAGUCAAUGAGUCAGAAGAAAAAAGGCAGAUUUACAAUGAGUUGUCAUAUUUUGUGUGUGUUGUGGGUUCUUUUCUGAGGUUUAUUUUUGAACUACAUUGUCUUGGCUCAAAAAUAUACCCAUUUACAUGAAUGGAGGACAUACAAUAAAAUAAAUAUAUUCACAAGUUCUGUAACCUCAGCGAGUUAUCCCUGACCCUGGCACUUUCACGUUUGAUGACCAAAUAUUGUUUUGAUCAGCUUGAAGCUAUGGUACAAUGCGUAGAGGAACGUUAUACAUACAGAGACCUACACAACCUCCAGGUUCAAAUAUCUGACCCCAAUAACAAAAUAACAAUAACAAAUCUCACCAAUAAUAAAAAGUAGUUGUAAUAAUCUGAAACUUGUUUUGAUAGUGAAUGUAAAGUGAAAGUGGUUCCAAUGUACAACAGUCUAUAUACAGUAUAUAGUGCCAACUUGAGAUAAAAAAGGAAAUAAAACAAAUGCAACACAA